CCUACACAUUUUCUCAGAUAUUAUCAACAUAAAAAUAAUUAAGUAAUAAAAAUGAGUAAAAUUUGAUUUUUUUUGGAAAUAUCUUGACUGGGAUAGAUUGAAAAAUGGAAAGUGUUCAUGUAAAUACUAAAAAGUACAUUUUAAUUGCAGUUAUGAAAACUGUCAAGAGAAGCAUUGAUUGUAAUAAAAUGCAUUUGACAUCUUUCAGACUAAGCAGAAAAACCAGGAAGAAGGAGUAGCUGUGCAUGAACCACAGCUGGAGGACCACACUCUCCUCUCAGGCAGCUUCCUGGACUGUUUCAAGGCACUUUCAUCCUUUGUUACUCUGAUUCUUUACCCCUCAGAAUGGAAUAGCUGUGCUCACUUUGGCAGCACGUAUACUAAAAUUGUGAAUCAUAAAGAGAAAAUCAGCACGGCCCCUGAACAAGGAUAACACGCAAAUUCGUGAAGCAUUUCAUAUUUUUCAACAGAGUAAAAAAACAACUCACAGAAUGGGAGAAAAUGUUCACAAACCUUGCAUCCAACAAAGGCCUACUAUAAAGAGUCUUUGAGGAACUUAAACAACUCAACAAGUAAACAACAACAACAACAAAAUAAUUGAAACCUGGACAAAGCUGACAUGAACAGACACAUCUCAAAAGAAGACAUACAAGUAGCCAACAAACAUGAAAAAAUGCUCAAAAUCACUAAUUAUCAGAGAAAUGCAAAUCAAAGCCACAAUGAGAUACCAUCUCAUACCGUUCACAAUGCCUAUUACUAAAAAGACAUAAAAU
RNAcentral lists this long non-coding RNA (773 nucleotides) under Homo sapiens (human). The record is from RNAcentral. Lineage: Eukaryota; Metazoa; Chordata; Mammalia; Primates; Hominidae.